AUGAAUGCUGGCGGCGUGGAUGAGGCAUGCAAGUCGAAUGGGUUUAGACCCAUGGCGGACGAGGUAGUAACACGUAGGUACGUACCCCAAAGUCAGGGAUAAUCCGGAGAAAUCCGGGAUAAUACUUGAUAGUCUCUUCGGAGUAAAGAUUUAUCGCUUUGGGAACGGCCUGCGUUCUAUCAGCUUGUUGGUAAGGUAACGGCUUACCAAGGCUACGACGGAUAGGGGAGGUGAGAGCCUGACCCCCACCGAUGGAACUGCGACACGGUCCAUACUCCUACGGGAGGCUGCAGUCGAGAAUCUUCCGCAAUGGACGAAAGUCUGACGGAGCGACGCCGCGUGGUAGAUGAAGUCCUUAGGGACGUAAAUACCUUUUAUGAGGGAAGAAGUUUAUUGACAUUACCUCAUGAAUAAGGGGCUCCCAAUUCUGU
This 431-nucleotide ribosomal RNA is filed under the name uncultured bacterium. Its description in RNAcentral is "bacterial SSU rRNA". It matches the Rfam family "Bacterial small subunit ribosomal RNA", at positions 29 to 506 of the family's 1533-position model. The record is from RNAcentral.